Molecule: long non-coding RNA, 1154 nt
Organism: Suricata suricatta (meerkat)
Lineage: Eukaryota; Metazoa; Chordata; Mammalia; Carnivora; Herpestidae
Exons: 3
Source: RefSeq, a predicted model, not a curated record
UUGGGACUUGAGUGAGGGUUGGGAAGGGGAGUUAUUGGUGUUGAAACUGAAGAAUUUACUAAGUAAAUGUUACUUUAUAUGGGCCUCUUGGUGGCCAACUGGCUGGCUGUCCAUAGGAACACUCCAGAUCAUGCUCUUUUGACCUUCAACAUUGAAGUCUUUGGAAGUUUUUAAAGAUGGUGGGAUGUAAUCAGAUUUGUAUUUUGGAAAGAUAGCAUUGGUAGCAGUUUGAAUAAUUGCUGGAAGCCAUUUCUGAACUCACCAAGUUGAGAAAAUCUCCUUGUGAGGGAGCCCUGGACCUGCUGGGGCCGGACUCUGGCAAAUAACGAAAUUGGGACAAGUGCAGAAGCUGGGGUCUACUUCUGAAAUAACCCAGAAGGCCGUCCUAACAUCCUGAGAGUGAAACCAGGACUGGGGUCUGUUCUGAGACUUCGCCACUGAUGGUUUGCUACCCGGUAACCAGUAAGACCCCCAGACUGUUACAGGAAAGCUAAAAAGGACUGUGAAGGGAACAUCUUCCUCGACAGCAGGAAGGCGCCUGCUCUGGUGUCCUGAGUUGACUUUUAGUGAGAGUAUCAUCAGAAUUUGUACCCGGCUUUUCCUUCCUCCACUGGAAGAAUUUUGAGUUCUUAGCACCGUACUGGGAGAGAGCAGUAUAAAAGGGGUUCUUGGGCAACUUUUCACUGGUCAACUUCAUCCUGUUUCGACAAUGUGUAUUCUGUGAAAGAAACAAAACAAAACAAAAGAAUAAAAACCAACAUGGUAGAAAUACCUUCCUCUAGAAAAGUACAGAAAGACUCCAUUCUCAUUUGGCACUCAUUUAUAAAAAGCCACCUCCCUGCAUUUGCCUAGGGACAGGGGACCAAACAACCAGCUGGGAUGUGCAUAUUUUGAGGAAAGCAGGGCCGUCCGUAGCUUCGAGAGGCACGAUCCUCCUCCGGUUCUGUGUCUACAGCGUGGGACUAAUGAUAAGCGCUGCUGGCACGUCCUCUGGCCGUGAGCUCUCGUGCUGCAGGGUGGGUCAGGUCCCCGACCACAACUGCCACCGGUAGGAACUGGUGACACCACCCAUAAACACGGUCCUGGUGCACUGAUGCUGCUUCCUAACAGCACCUCGUGACACUCAUUUCAAAUUAAAGCAUUUGUCUUUCUUA